This 386-nucleotide ribosomal RNA is filed under the name uncultured bacterium. RNAcentral describes it as "bacterial SSU rRNA". It matches the Rfam family "Bacterial small subunit ribosomal RNA", at positions 30 to 416 of the family's 1533-position model. The record is from RNAcentral.
AUUGAACGCUGGCGGCAUGCCUUACACAUGCAAGUCGAACGGCAGCGCGGGAGCAAUCCUGGCGGCGAGUGGCGGACGGGUGAGUAACGCGUAGGAAUAUACCUUGAAGUGGGGGAUAACUUGGGGAAACUCAAGCUAAUACCGCAUGAGCUCUGAGGAGGAAAGCUGGGGACCGCAAGGCCUGGCGCUUUAAGAAUAGCCUGCGUCUGAUUAGCUAGUUGGUAGGGUAAAGGCCUACCAAGGCGACGAUCAGUAGCUGGUCUGAGAGGAUGAUCAGCCACACUGGGACUGAGACACGGCCCAGACUCCUACGGGAGGCAGCAGUGGGGAAUUUUGGACAAUGGGCGCAAGCCUGAUCCAGCCAUGCCGCGUGCAGGAUGAAGGCC